Molecule: ribosomal RNA, 238 nt
Filed under: uncultured bacterium
Lineage: Bacteria
Description: partial 16S ribosomal RNA
Rfam family: Bacterial small subunit ribosomal RNA
Source: RNAcentral
UGGCGGACGGGUGAGUAACGCGUGGGUAACCUGCCUCAUACAGGGGGAUAACAGUUAGAAAUGACUGCUAAUACCGCAUAAGACCACAGCACCGCAUGGUGCAGGGGUAAAAACUCCGGUGGUAUGAGAUGGACCCGCGUCUGAUUAGGUAGUUGGUGGGGUAACGGCCUACCAAGCCGACGAUCAGUAGCCGACCUGAGAGGGUGACCGGCCACAUUGGGACUGGGACACGGUCCAA